RNAcentral lists this ribosomal RNA (398 nucleotides) under uncultured bacterium. RNAcentral describes it as "bacterial SSU rRNA". It matches the Rfam family "Bacterial small subunit ribosomal RNA", at positions 358 to 773 of the family's 1533-position model. The record is from RNAcentral.
GGAAUAUUGGACAAUGGGCGAAAGCCUGAUCCAGCAAUGCCGCGUGAGUGAUGAAGGCCUUAGGGUUGUAAAGCUCUUUUACCAGGGAUGAUAAUGACAGUACCUGGAGAAUAAGCUCCGGCUAACUCCGUGCCAGCAGCCGCGGUAAUACGGAGGGAGCUAGCGUUGUUCGGAAUUACUGGGCGUAAAGCGCACGUAGGCGGCUAUUCAAGGCAGGGGUGAAAUCCCGGGGCUCAACCCCGGAACUGCCUCUGAAACUAGAUAGCUAGAAUCUUGGAGAUGUCAGUGGAAUUCCGAGUGUAGAGGUGAAAUUCGUAGAUAUUCGGAAGAACACCAGUGGCGAAGGCGACUGACUGGACAAGUAUUGACGCUGAGGUGCGAAAGCGUGGGGAGCAAAC